GCGUUGAAUUGAAGCCCGAGUAAACGGCGGCCGUAACUAUAACGGUCCUAAGGUAGCGAAAUUCCUUGUCGGUUAAAUACCGACCUGCAUGAAUGGCGUAACGAGAUGGGAGCUGUCUCAACCAGAGAUUCAGUGAAAUUGUAGUGGAGGUGAAAAUUCCUCCUACCCGCGGCAAGACGGAAAGACCCCGUGGACCUUUACUACAACU
RNAcentral lists this ribosomal RNA (208 nucleotides) under Helicobacter pylori. RNAcentral's name for it is "partial 23S ribosomal RNA". It matches the Rfam family "Bacterial large subunit ribosomal RNA", at positions 1904 to 2111 of the family's 2925-position model. Lineage: Bacteria; Pseudomonadati; Campylobacterota; Epsilonproteobacteria; Campylobacterales; Helicobacteraceae. The record is from RNAcentral.